CGUGUGGUGUCCGACCUUUGGCUCGGAUAGCGACACGGCCCAAAUCAUUGAGGU
This 54-nucleotide non-coding RNA is filed under the name Aeromonas simiae. RNAcentral's name for it is "L31-Gammaproteobacteria ribosomal protein leader". It matches the Rfam family "L31-Gammaproteobacteria ribosomal protein leader". The record is from RNAcentral. Lineage: Bacteria; Pseudomonadati; Pseudomonadota; Gammaproteobacteria; Aeromonadales; Aeromonadaceae.